CAGAUUGAACGCUGGCGGCAGGCCUAACACAUGCAAGUCGAGCGCUUCCCUUCGGGGAGGAGCGGCGGACGGGUUAGUAACGCGUGGGAAUAUACCCAGUUCUAAGGAAUAGCCAUUGGAAACGAUGAGUAAUACCUUAUACGCCCUUCGGGGGAAAGAUUUAUCGGAGAAGGAUUAGCCCGCGUUAGAUUAGGUAGUUGGUGGGGUAAUGGCCUACCAAGCCUACGAUCUAUAGCUGGUUUUAGAGGAUGAUCAGCCACACUGGGACUGAGACACGGCCCAGACUCCUACGGGAGGCAGCAGUGAGGAAUCUUAGACAAUGGGCGCAAGCCUGAUCUAGCCAUGCCGCGUGUGUGAUGAAGGCCUUAGGGUCGUAAAGCACUUUCGCCAGAGAUGAUAAUGACAGUAUCUGGUAAAGAAACCCCGGCUAACUCCGUGCCAGCAGCCGCGGUAAUACGGAGGGGGUUAGCGUUGUUCGGAAUUACUGGGCGUAAAGCGUACGUAGGCGGAUUAGUAAGUUAGAGGUGAAAUCCCAGGGCUCAACCUUGGAACUGCCUUUAAUACUGCUAGUCUUGAGUUCGAGAGAGGUGAGUGGAAUUCCAAGUGUAGAGGUGAAAUUCGUAGAUAUUUGGAGGAACACCAGUGGCGAAGGCGGCUCACUGGCUCGAUACUGACGCUGAGGUACGAAAGUGUGGGGAGCAAACAGG
This 707-nucleotide ribosomal RNA is filed under the name Palpitomonas bilix. RNAcentral describes it as "partial Bacterial small subunit ribosomal RNA". It matches the Rfam family "Bacterial small subunit ribosomal RNA", at positions 25 to 776 of the family's 1533-position model. The record is from RNAcentral.